This is a non-coding RNA of Brachypodium distachyon (stiff brome), 116 nucleotides long. The record is from Rfam. NCBI's taxonomy places the organism in Eukaryota, Viridiplantae, Streptophyta, Magnoliopsida, Poales, Poaceae.
CAGGGUACCCUUUGACCCUCCCUAGUUCAACCAAAUGAACUAAAGUUUUUGAAUGAAACAACCUUUUGAAAAACUAGCUCAUUUGUUUAAACUAAGCAGGGUCAAUGGGUACCCUG